GACGUAGGGCGCGAGCGUUGUCCGGAUUUAUUGGGCGUAAAGAGCUCGUAGGCGGCUUGUCGCGUCGAAUGUGAAAUCUCAGGGCUCAACUCUGACAUUGCAUUCGAUACGGGCAGGCUAGAGUUCGGUAGGGGAGACUGGAAUUCCUGGUGUAGCGGUGAAAUGCGCAGAUAUCAGGAGGAACACCGGUGGCGAAGGCGGGUCUCUGGGACGGUACUGACGCUGAGACGCGAAAGCGUGGGGAGCGAACAGG
Molecule: ribosomal RNA, 253 nt
Filed under: uncultured bacterium
Lineage: Bacteria
Description: partial 16S ribosomal RNA
Rfam family: Bacterial small subunit ribosomal RNA
Source: RNAcentral